Non-coding RNA from Chrysemys picta bellii (western painted turtle), 1300 nucleotides. NCBI's taxonomy places the organism in Eukaryota, Metazoa, Chordata, Testudines, Emydidae. The record is from RefSeq and is a predicted model, not a curated record.
UUAGGAUUAGAGUGAAAUAUGAUAGGCUCUCUCUCCUACAGGCAUGGCCACAAAGGCAGCAAACUCCUCCUUUCCACAGCCAAGAGCUCAACAGCAAUGAAAACUUCUGAACUCUGCACACACAAAUAGGAACACUCAAGUGCAACUCUGCAGACUCAGUUUCUUGUUGGGACUAGGACUGGGAGUGCAGAUAUAAUGCCAGAAAAGUGGUCUGCCCUCAGUCUAGACUUGAGCGGACAAAGCAGACAAUCUAUACAACCUCUGAAGAGUCAUGGGAGAACCUGCCGACCAUCUGCCAAAAAAGUGAGACUAAGGACGGAUUGAACCUCACAUAUGAAGAGCUGUUCCAGUCUCCACUUUUUAUGUGAGCAUUUAAUUUAGCACUGGUGACAGCUCUGGAGAAUGAAGCCACUGAACAAGCGUACUGCACCUCCGAGCACGCCUCAGCACUGAAUGGGUUUUCCCUAGACGUGAGAUUAAAGUUCAGGCUUCAAGUUCAUGUACUCCUUGGUUUCUCUGAAGAGAUGGUCAAUUAGUUAUCACUUAGUACACAAUACAGAAUACUUUGCACUUCUGCAGAGCAUUUCAUCUGAGGACUUUCAUCUACAACAAGCAAAGGCUAAGGGGCAAAUUCUGCACUACACUUCCUGGGAGCUGCAGCACACAAGGCACAGCCCCGUGGGAAAUGGGGGCAAAACUUUGUGCCUCCCAGAUUCUGGGCUGCUCUGGGGGCUAAUGUGAGCCUCAUAAAUUGAAGUAGCCUUGGGGGCUGCUUUAAGUAGCAGCAGACUGCAGGGCUGUCAGCAGGCUGCAUUGCAGCCCACAGUCCCGGUUGCACCCCCAGGUCCAUGCCCAGUCCAGGGACAACAACUGCAGCAGUGGAAUUCUCUCCUGGCCACUUGCAGUGCGUUAAGACAGAGGAGCAGGAGUCUAAACCUGUCCCUGAAUCUGGAUUAAAGUAGCUAUUUUAACAAACGCAUCGGUAGCCUAAGUGCUUAAAGAGGGGAAAACAUUAUUUGGGGAGAAAACUGGUUCUAUUACAUUAACAGCAUCUCAUUGUUACCAUUCCUGAUGUCCAAUUUGUGUCCAUUUAUUCUUUUACAUGGGGACUGUCCGGUUUGGUGGGAAAAGGUGAGGGUGGACACAAGCUGUACCACUUCUUCAGAGCCUGAAGAAGAAGAGUUUACACAAAUCAGACAUCAGGAAUGGUAACAUAUACAAAAGCCAGUAGGAGAACACUUCAAUCUCCCUGGACAUUCUAUUACAGAUUUAAAAGUAGCCAUUCUUCAACAACAAAAAC